Molecule: unclassified non-coding RNA, 339 nt
Filed under: uncultured fungus
Lineage: Eukaryota; Fungi
Description: partial contains 5.8S ribosomal RNA and internal transcribed spacer 2
Rfam family: 5.8S ribosomal RNA (bases 1-133)
Source: RNAcentral
UGGCUCCAGCAUCGAUGAAGAACGCAGCGAAAUGCGAUACGUAGUGUGAAUUGCAGAAUUCCGUGAAUCAUCGAAUCUUUGAACGCACAUUGCGCCUGCUGGUAUUCCGGUAGGCAUGCCUGUCCGAGCGUCAUAACCUUCCAUUCGAGUGGCUUGAAAGCCCUCGGUCUUGGGCCUCCCAAAAUUUAGCUCAGCUAGAUUUGGGGGUCUAAAAGUUUCUUUGCGUAGUAACUUACGCCUAGCCUUCGAGCGUUGCAUACUUCGCGCUCGGGGACGGCGUCGGCACUUCUACUUUUAACUUACUCUCUUGACCUCGGAUCAGGUAGGAAGACCCGCUGA